CUCUGAUACUAUUGUUAGGUUCCAAUCAUACAGCGAAAAGUAAUUUUCAAAAAUUUUAAAACAAGCAAAUCAAUAGUCUUAUCAAAUAAAACUAUCGAGCUGAAUCCAAAAUCCUAGAAUCACUUUACCGAUCACGAUCAAAAUAAAUUCAAGCAUAUAAAGAGAUAGAAAAUUAUACUUUAACCAAUAUGAAAAACUGGCAC
This 203-nucleotide long non-coding RNA is filed under the name Elaeis guineensis (African oil palm). RNAcentral's name for it is "long non-coding RNA (EGUI_LNC004618)". Lineage: Eukaryota; Viridiplantae; Streptophyta; Magnoliopsida; Arecales; Arecaceae. The record is from RNAcentral.